UGCUGUGGCUCAGAGGUAGAGCACUUCCUUGGUAAGGAAGGGGUCACGGGUUCAAUUCCCGUCAGC
Molecule: transfer RNA, 66 nt
Filed under: human gut metagenome
Also listed under: 1 other name
Rfam family: tRNA
About the family: Transfer RNA (tRNA) molecules are approximately 80 nucleotides in length. Their secondary structure includes four short double-helical elements and three loops (D, anti-codon, and T loops).
Source: RNAcentral